This 23-nucleotide non-coding RNA is filed under the name Arabidopsis thaliana (thale cress). Lineage: Eukaryota; Viridiplantae; Streptophyta; Magnoliopsida; Brassicales; Brassicaceae. The record is from RNAcentral.
UUUCGUGAUUUGUGCUAUAUUAC